UACGUAGGGUGCAAGCGUUGUCCGGAAUUAUUGGGCGUAAAGAGCUCGUAGGCGGUCUGUCGCGUCGGAUGUGAAAAUCCAGGGCUCAACCCUGGACCUGCAUUCGAUACGGGCAGACUAGAGUCCGGAGGAGGAGAGUGGAAUUCCUGGUGUAGCGGUGAAAUGCGCAGAUAUCAGGAAGAACACCCGUGGCGAAGGCGGCUCUCUGGGACGGUACUGACGCUGAGACGCGAAAGCGUGGGGAGCGAACAGG
Molecule: ribosomal RNA, 253 nt
Filed under: uncultured bacterium
Lineage: Bacteria
Description: partial 16S ribosomal RNA
Rfam family: Bacterial small subunit ribosomal RNA
Source: RNAcentral